GGAGGUUGGCUUAGAAGCAGCCAUCCUUUAAAGAAAGCGUAACAGCUCACUGGUCCAUUUGGGGUCCCCAUUGCUUCGGCAAUGGGGUACUCUUGCGAUCCUGCGCCGAAAAUAUAACGGGGCUAAAAUAGACACCGAAGCUGUAGGUACGGAUUACUGAUUGCAGAUUGCGGAUUGCGGAGGAAGUAAAUUGAGAGAUGAGAGUGCAAAAUUAGAUGUUGAGAAUUUGCAAAUUUAUCAAAUGGCAUUUAGACUAAUGAUAAAAAUUCAUAAAACAAGCUUGAGAUUUCCCAAAAUCGAGCAAUAUGGUGGAGUAGCCGAUCAAUUGAGACGGAGCUCUAAAUCAAUUGCUGCAAAUAUAGUUGAGGGGUUUGGGAAGCAGAGAUUUUAUAAAGAUGAAUUUAAAAGAAUGUUGGUCUAUGCUAUAGGAAGUUGUGAUGAGACAAUGCUAUGGAUCAAGACAUCUAAGGAGCUGGGAUAUAUAAGUAAUGAGCUUAUGCAAGAGUAUAUAAGCGAAUAUAAAAUCCUAGUAAAAAAACUUUCUGUAUUUACUUCGAAUUUGAAAGUGAAAUGAAGCUUCUUCCGUAAUCCGUAAUCCGUAUUCGGUUAUCCGUGCGGUAGCGGAGCGUUCCUGUCAGCGUUGAAGCCAUACCGGUAAGGAGUGGUGGAGCGGCAGGAAGUGAGCAUGCAGGCAUGAGUAGCGAUAAAACAGGUGAGAAUCCUGUUCGCCGAAAACCCAAGGUUUCCUACACGAUGCUCGUCAAUGUAGGGUUAGUCGGGUCCUAAGCUGAGUCCGAAAGGGGUAAGCGAUGGCAAAUCGGUUAAUAUUCCGAUACCGACCAUAGAGCGCGAUGGGGGGACGCAUAGGGCUAGCCGAGGUCACUGAUGGAAUAGUGGCUCGAAGGGAGUAGGUUGAGAUACAGGCAAAUCCGUAUCUCUAUAUCCGAGACCCGACAGGCUCCCUGAACUCUUCGGAGGGAUGGGAGAAUCGGUGAUGCCGUCGUGCCGAGAAAAGCCUCUAAGUUUAUCUAUGGUUGCCCGUACCGUAAACCGACACAGGUGGGUGAGAUGAGUAUUCUAAGGCGCGUGGAAGAACCCUGGUUAAGGAACUCUGCAAACUAGCACCGUAUCUUCGGUAUAAGGUGUGCCUAUGAGAAUAGGUCGCAGCAAAGAGUCCCUGCCGACUGUUUAGCAAAAACACAGCACUCUGCUAACUCGCAAGAGGAUGUAUAGGGUGUGACGCCUGCCCGGUGCUGGAAGGUUAAAAGGAUCUGUUAGAGCAAUCGAAGCAGUGAAUUGAAGCCCCAGUAAACGGCGGCCGUAACUAUAACGGUCCUAAGGUAGCGAAAUUCCUUGUCGGGUAAGUUCCGACCUGCACGAAUGGCGUAACGAGGGCCACACUGUCUCCACCCGAGACUCAGUGAAAUUGAAAUUGCUGUUAAGAUGCAGUAUACCCGCGGCCAGACGGAAAGACCCCGUGCACCUUUACUACAGCUUUGCAUUGAACUCUGAUCCUACCUGUGUAGGAUAGGUGGGAGACUUUGAAACUUUAACGCUAGUUAGAGUGGAGUCAUCCUUGAAAUACCACCCUGGUAUGGUUGGGGUUCUAACCUUGGUCCGUUAUCCGGAUUGGGGACAAUGCAUGGUGGGUAGUUUGACUGGGGCGGUCUCCUCCCAAAGAGUAACGGAGGAGCGCAAAGGUACCCUCAGCACGGUCGGACAUCGUGCAAUGAGCGCAAAGGUAAAAGGGUGCUUGACUGCGAGACUGACACGUCGAGCAGGUAGGAAACUAGGUCUUAGUGAUCCGGUGGUUCUGAGUGGAAGGACCAUCGCUCAACGGAUAAAAGGUACGCCGGGGAUAACAGGCUGAUACCGCCCAAGAGUUCACAUCGACGGCGGUGUUUGGCACCUCGAUGUCGGCUCAUCACAUCCUGGGGCUGAAGCAGGUCCCAAGGGUAUGGCUGUUCGCCAUUUAAAGUGGUACGCGAGCUGGGUUUAGAACGUCGUGAGACAGUUCGGUCCCUAUCUACCGUGGGCGUUGGAGACUUGAGGGAAGCUGUUCUUAGUACGAGAGGACCGGAAUGGACACACCUCUGGUGUUUCGGUUAUGACGCCAGUCGUAUUGCCGAGUAGCUAUGUGUGGAAAGGAUAACCGCUGAAAGCAUCUAAGCGGGAAGCCCCUCCCAAGAUUAGGUCUCCCUGACAGUUUAACUGUCCUAAAGAUCCCUCGGAGACUACGAGGUUGAUAGGCACGGUGUGGAAGAGUAGUGAUACUUGAAGCUAACGUGUACUAAUUGAUCGUGAGGCUUGACCAU
RNAcentral lists this ribosomal RNA (2315 nucleotides) under metagenome. Its description in RNAcentral is "bacterial LSU rRNA". It matches the Rfam family "Bacterial large subunit ribosomal RNA", at positions 1096 to 2925 of the family's 2925-position model. The record is from RNAcentral.